AAUCAGAAAACAUGCGCUGAAUUAAAGAAGAAGGCAAUCGAAGAUGAUGAAAUGAAGCGGUAGUGGAGAACGAACAGUGAAGUUUAGAAGGAUUGAAUCUUGUGAUGAAGCCAUACAAGACUAUUACGCUAAUCAUGCUUGUGAUAAAGAUUCGCUGAAGCCACGUCUGGAUCAUCGGAGAAGCAGUCGUUGAAUUCUGUGAGCGCUUUGCGGACACUACAGUGAGAUUGAGAGGUGGUCUGAAGCAUCCCUUCCUAUGCAGUCUUGAAUUCCGUUCAGUCCAAAGAAGCUAUACUCAUCUGUCUUGAGACUGCAGGCGAGAGGAGAACUUCCAUACUCCCAAAAGAUGUCCAAUUAUAAGUCUAGAAACAUGUCUUUAAUGCGCAGUAGUUUGUUUGCAAACCACGAGUGCUUAUGAUUGGUUUUCUUAGUCCAGAAAUUACUUAUAAUGACCCAUUUAGAACUUUCUUUUUGUACAACGCUACCCACAAGAAUACCAAUUAGUGUUGUUAACAUCGUUUCUACGAGAA
This is a long non-coding RNA of Raphanus sativus (radish), 530 nucleotides long. RefSeq lists it as uncharacterized. The record is from RefSeq and is a predicted model, not a curated record. Lineage: Eukaryota; Viridiplantae; Streptophyta; Magnoliopsida; Brassicales; Brassicaceae. The transcript has 2 exons.